RNAcentral lists this ribosomal RNA (1319 nucleotides) under uncultured Alphaproteobacteria bacterium. Its description in RNAcentral is "bacterial SSU rRNA". It matches the Rfam family "Bacterial small subunit ribosomal RNA", at positions 27 to 1393 of the family's 1533-position model. The record is from RNAcentral. Lineage: Bacteria; Pseudomonadati; Pseudomonadota; Alphaproteobacteria.
GAACGUACGCUGGCGGCACGCCUAACACAUGCAAGUCGAACGAAGUAGCAAUACUUAGUGGCAGACGGGUGAGUAACAUGUAGGUAUCUGCCCUUUGGCCUGGAAUAACACGAGGAAACUUGUGCUAAUACCGGAUAAGUCUUUACGGAGAAAGCUUUAUGCACCAUUGGAUGAGCCUGCACUUGAUUAGUUUGUUGGUAGGGUAAUGGCCUACCAAGACUGUGAUCUAUAGCUGAUUUGAGAGGAUGAUCAGCCACAUUGGGACUGAGACACGGCCCAAACUCCUACGGGAGGCAGCAGUGGGGAAUCUUGCACAAUGGAGGAAACUCUGAUGCAGCGAUGCCGCGUGAGUGAAGAAGGCCUUUGGGUUGUAAAGCUCUUUCGUCGGGGAAGAAAAUGACUGUACCCGAAUAAGAAGGUCCGGCUAACUUCGUGCCAGCAGCCGCGGUAAUACGAAGGGACCUAGCGUAGUUCGGAAUUACUGGGCUUAAAGAGUUCGUAGGUGGUUGAAAAAGUUGGUGGUGAAAUCCCAGAGCUUAACUCUGGAACUGCCAUCAAAACUUUUCAGCUAGAGUAUGAUAGAGGAAAGCAGAAUUUCUAGUGUAGAGGUGAAAUUCGUAGAUAUUAGAAAGAAUACCAAUUGCGAAGGCAGCUUUCUGGAUCAUUACUGACACUGAGGAACGAAAGCAUGGGUAGCGAAGAGGAUUAGAUACCCUCGUAGUCCAUGCCGUAAACGAUGUGUGUUAGACGUUGGAAAUUUAUUUUCAGUGUCGCAGCGAAAGCGAUAAACACACCGCCUGGGGAGUACGACCGCAAGGUUAAAACUCAAAUGAAUUGACGGGGACCCGCACAAGUAGUGGAGCAUGUGGUUUAAUUCGAAGAUACGCGCAGAACCUUACCAACACUUGACAUGUUCGUCGCAACUUUAAGAGAUUAAAGUUUUCGGUUCGGCCGGACGAAACACAGGUGCUGCAUGGCUGUCGUCAGCUCGUGUCGUGAGAUGUUGGGUUAAGUCCCGCAACGAGCGCAACCCUCACUUUUAGUUGCCAUCAUUAAGUUGGGCACUCUGAAAGAACUGCCAGUGAUAAGCUGGAGGAAGGUGGGGAUGACGUCAAGUCCUCAUGGCCCUUACGUGUUGGGCUACACACGUGCUACAAUGGUAUUUACAACAGGAAGCAAGACUGCGAAGUUAAGCAAAUCCCUAAAAAAUACCUCAGUUCGGAUUGCACUCUGCAACUCGAGUGCAUGAGGCUGGAAUUACUAGUAAUCGUGGAUCAGCGUGCCACGGUGAAUGCGUUCCCGGGUCUUGUACACACCGC